Molecule: transfer RNA, 72 nt
Filed under: Camelus bactrianus (Bactrian camel)
Lineage: Eukaryota; Metazoa; Chordata; Mammalia; Artiodactyla; Camelidae
Also listed under: 1 other name
Rfam family: tRNA
About the family: Transfer RNA (tRNA) molecules are approximately 80 nucleotides in length. Their secondary structure includes four short double-helical elements and three loops (D, anti-codon, and T loops).
Source: Rfam by way of RNAcentral
GUGGUUAUAGCUCAGUGCUAGAGUGUGUGCUUGAUAUGCACGAGGUGCUGGGUUCCAUCCCUAGUGCCUCCA